This 74-nucleotide transfer RNA is filed under the name Candidatus Fibrimonadaceae bacterium. RNAcentral's name for it is "tRNA-Met". It matches the Rfam family "tRNA". From Rfam's summary of the family: Transfer RNA (tRNA) molecules are approximately 80 nucleotides in length. Lineage: Bacteria; Pseudomonadati; Fibrobacterota; Fibrobacteria; Candidatus Fibrimonadales; Candidatus Fibrimonadaceae. The record is from RNAcentral.
GGCGAUUUAGCUCAGUUGGUUAGAGCGUCGGAAUCAUAAUCCGCAGGUCCGGGGUUCAAGUCCCUGAAUCGCUA